UCUCUAAUGAGAAAAAAGAUCUAGUACCU
This 29-nucleotide non-coding RNA is filed under the name Rattus norvegicus (Norway rat). The record is from RNAcentral. Lineage: Eukaryota; Metazoa; Chordata; Mammalia; Rodentia; Muridae.